GAUGAACGCUGGCGGCGUGCUUAACACAUGCAAGUCGAACGAAGCCCUCGGGCUUAGUGGCGGACGGGUGAGUAACGCGUGAGAAUCUACCUUCGAGAUGGGGACAACCGUUGGAAACGACGGCUAAUCCCCAAUAAGCCGAAAGGUGAAAGGGUUUCCGCUCGCAGAGGAGCUCGCGUCCGAUUAGUUAGUUGGUGGGGUAAGAGCCUACCAAGGCAGCGAUCGGUAGCUGGUCUGAGAGGAUGAGCAGCCACACUGGGACUGAGACACGGCCCAGACUCCUACGGGAGGCAGCAGUGGGGAAUUUUCCGCAAUGGGCGCAAGCCUGACGGAGCAACGCCGCGUGUGGGAAGAAGGCUCUUGGGCUGUCAACCACUUUUCUCAGGGAAGAAGUCCUGACGGUACCUGAGGAAUCAGCCUCGGCUAACUCCGUGCCAGCAGCCGCGGUAAUACGGAGGAGGCAAGCGUUAUCCGGAAUUAUUGGGCGUAAAGCGUCCGCAGGGGGCACUUCAAGUCUGCUGUCAAAGGUCGGAGCUUAACUCCGGUUCGGCAGUGGAAACUGGAGGGCUAGAGGGCGACAGGGGUAGAGGGAAUUCCCAGUGUAGCGGUGAAAUGCGUAGAGAUUGGGAAGAACACCGGUGGCGAAAGCGCUCUACUGGGUCGCACCUGACCCUCAGGGACGAAAGCUAAGGUAGCGAAAGGGAUUAGAUACCCCUGUAGUCUUAGCCGUAAACGAUGGAUACUAGGCGUGGUUUGUAUCGACCCAAGCCGUGCCGAAGCUAAACGCGUUAAGUAUCCCGACUGGGGAGUACGCACGCAAGUGUGAAAC
RNAcentral lists this ribosomal RNA (829 nucleotides) under uncultured organism. RNAcentral's name for it is "bacterial SSU rRNA". It matches the Rfam family "Bacterial small subunit ribosomal RNA", at positions 28 to 900 of the family's 1533-position model. The record is from RNAcentral.